CAACAGGAGAAGCUAUGGAGUUUUAGAAGGCUAAGAUUCAGCUCAGUUGUGACUCUUACAAAGGCAGAUGUAAGAGCACUAUGGAAGAUGGAAAUGUUCACAGUGGAACACAUACUGGGGAAACACAUUUGCAGAACCAUCUGUUAUACUUGCUAAAACCACUUCUAUGAUGCUGGCAGAGAGAUUUGGCCAGAGAGUCCUGCCACUCUGCUCUCUGUAGGGACAGACCCACGUUCAAGUUGGAGGUUUAGAAACUUGCCCAGGGUCACAUAGGUAGCCAAGUGGCAGAAUGCUUAGAAGCUGUUGGGUUCAAUUGGGCUUUGAAACGUCAGGAAGAAAAGAGGCUUUGGUUCCUUUUAAAAAGAGGCAUUAGAGGGGGCUGGCCCCGUGGCCGAGUGGUUAAGUUCGCGUGCUCCGCUGCAGGCGGCCCAGUGUUUCGUUAGUUCGAAUCCUGGGCGCGGACAUGGCACUGCUCAUCAGACCACGCUGAGGCAGUGUCCCACAUGCCACAACUAGAAGAACCCACAACGAAGAAUACACAACUAUGUACGGGGGGGCUGUGGGGAGAAAAAGGGA
This 576-nucleotide long non-coding RNA is filed under the name Equus caballus (horse). RNAcentral describes it as "lncRNA (ENSECAG00000057525.1)". Lineage: Eukaryota; Metazoa; Chordata; Mammalia; Perissodactyla; Equidae. The record is from RNAcentral.